This 26696-nucleotide long non-coding RNA is filed under the name Nicotiana tabacum (common tobacco). Its description in RNAcentral is "long non-coding RNA (NTAB_LNC012506)". The record is from RNAcentral. Lineage: Eukaryota; Viridiplantae; Streptophyta; Magnoliopsida; Solanales; Solanaceae.
CAAAACCUCAAAUAGCCUCAAAUGCCUCAGUUCUAUAAACAAUGUCGUAGUCUAGAUGCAUCAAAGUUCCCUAAGGAUCUCAAGGAUCUCGGGCAGUGCUUACACCUACACUUGGUAACAAAAAUUUAAUAAGUGCAGUGUGAAAGAGCCAACCUCAAUAUGUCAGAGUUCAGAGUGUCUCAAGAGGAUCCCAAGGCAGUACAUAUACUGGAGGGGGCAGAACUUAAUGACUUAGGAGUAGCGUGAAAGUGCUUGACACAAGUUGAAAGGUUUCAGCAGGAAAACAACAUAAAAAGGAGGUUUGUCGGAAAUAGCUGGUGGAGUAAAAGAAGGAGUCAUGCAGUAAAACAAUUUUGAAAAGAGAGUUGCAUGAUUAGACAAUAGUAAAUCAAACAUGAAGUCUAAAACCACAUCAGCAAUACUUAAAGAGCACAGAACCAAACAUAAGGAACAAACCUACAUACAGGGGUGAUAAGAAUUGGGGAUACAUGGAACACAUGAUGGUAAACAUAUAACAGGCAGAUGUAAUUGGUACAGACAUGCUCAGAAAUAAUUGAUCAGACAUAGAGAGGGUAAAAUGUUUACACUAAUCCUAAGGAAGGGGAGUACUUGACAUGCUAAUUAGGUAAUCAUAUUAAAGGCAGGUUUCACAGCAAAACCAUAAGUAAAAGCAAACUAGAAACAUGAUGAAAUGAAGCAAUAAAAGAACCAUAAUGUUUUUGGAACUCGAACUGAAAUUAGAACAUACCAGUAAAGAAGACAGUAAGCAAGAGUGAAUGAGUAGGAGAGCACAAUAGUUAGCCUUGACUUGCAGCCGGCUAACUCAGAAUUGUAGCAAGUAGCACAAAAGAGAGAGAGCAAAAGGUUUAAGUGUGUGUGUGUAAGAGAGAGAGAUUAAGGAAUUAGGGCUAAUAAGUAUGGGGUAAGCAAUUAGGUCUAAGUUUAGAAUACUCUUAAUUAAGGAAAUAGUCGGUAAGAAUAAAGUACAGCAACAGACAAGGUAGGUGAAUCAGUUAAUUAGAAUAGAAGAUGUAGAGAUUGAGGGUUUAAAGGAAGGUCUUUCAAUCAAACCCAAAAAAUAGGGAAUCCAGAAUCAAUCAAAGAGGGAGUCAUUGUUCUGUAUUAAUCAUAUAAAUAGAGAAGAUAAGAAUAAACAGACAUAGCAAACAUGCAGGUUAAACAGUAUCGAUAGAAAGAGGCAAGUAUGAACAAUCAUGAUGAACAUAAGCACAUAGAGGUGAUAUAAGUUAGCUAAAAACUUAGUAAGAACAUAUUCGAAGCAAUAUAGUCACAGAAACUCAAACAAGAAACGAGAAGUCAUGCUAAUACACAGAACCAAAUGAAGAAGUCUAGUAAAUUAGGGCUUUCAGCAUAGGCGAGUUGAAUAGGUAGUAAAAUCACAGAAUCAGUCGAAAUAUGCAAGAGAUGGAAGUUUAAACAUAAGAAAUCAGUUUAAACAAAGUUUUAAAAGGAGUUCAGAAAACCCUAAUUUUAGAAGAAGGUGAAAACCCUUUGAAAUCGAUGAUUCUUGUAAAAGAGUUCCAAGAACAGUGUAAACUACUAAAGAGGCAAACACAAAUCAUUUUAAAAUUCUACAUAUCUAGAAUAUGUAGGUAGAAAUUAGGGUUUUAGAAGAAACUCAAAUAGAGAUGAAAGAACAUGUCUAGAAUCCCAAGGAUUGUAACAAGCACAACAUGAUUUUGCUUGAAGUCACACUGAAGUAGCCAAGAACAGACAAAUAGCAAACCCUAGACACAAGUUGGCAUGGCCCAGGGCCCUUAAAGACCUUAGAGAAGGCAAGCAUAACAUUAGAGGAGCCAUUAGAGGCUUGCGAGUUGAAGGGAGAUCACCGGAGAAGACCGGAGAAGGAGGUCGGCGGUUGAAGGAGCUAGGGUUAGGUUGAGUGAUUGAGAGAGGAUAGGAGAUGAGAGAAUACAUAGGCGGCGGUAUCUGAAUAAUGAGCUAGGGUUAGGGGUCGUUGGAAUUAAAAAUGGUAAGAACGGACGAGGACCAUUGAUUUUUUAGAUCAACGACUAGGAUUAAAUAUGGAUUUGGGUCGGGUAGGCGAGUUCAAGGCUUGGGUCGGGUAUUUUUAAUACGAAAUUGGGCUGGGGUUGGGUUUAAAUUGGUCUACGAUUGAAAUGCAAAUCUGGCUAUAUUUUAAAUAGCCAAUUUUCCCUAAAUAAUAAAUUAUAAAUAAGAAAUAAUUUUUGGAAAAUAAUUUUGUGUACUAAAAUGAUUUAAAAUAGACAUUUAACAUUUUAAAAAUAUAGGAGAUCAAUUUUACGCAUAUAAAUAUAAUUAUACAUUAAUGGGACUAAUAUUGCAGUUAUAUGCAAUUUAGCUUUAAAAAUACAAAAUGCAAUUAUAAAAUGCAUAAAACAUGUUUUAACCAUAUUUGGCAUAAAUAUAAAAAUUAAAUGACUAAAUCACCACAACACUAAUUUGAGGGAUAGUUAUUGGGGAUUUUAUGAAAUAAAGGGAAGGAAAUAAAUCAAUUUAAAUCCUUAAUAUUAUGGGAAAAUUAUAAAAACCUUGUGCAUGCUUAUAUAUACUUAUAUAUAUAUAUAUAUAUAUAUGCUAUUUUGAAAGUAUUUAUACAUAUAAAAAGUAUAGUAAAAAAUUGGAUAUCAAUGGAUGUUGCACCCUGAAGUAUUGUACGCUAAAUUUGUCGUAAGGUAAUUGACAUCAGUCCAAGUAAAAAAUUAUUUGGAGAUUAUAAGGAUUAUGCUAUUUCACAAGUUAUUGAUAAAUUUAUGAAGGUUAAAAGGCGGAGUAAGUCAAAGAAAAUGAAUUAUCCAAGUUUGGCAUUUUGGGGUAAAAUACAGCUCGAGCUAAAAUACCCGGUAUUUAUGGACUAGUAUCAUACGAGUUACCAUAUAACCAUAAUAGUAAGGUGUAUAAGGUAUGUGAAAAGUGAGUAAUAUUUUAAGUAAGUGAGAAUAAUUCUCAAUUUUGCGGGUAAUUAAUUAAUUGCCGGGUAACGAGACAUUACCUAAUUAAUUGGGGAUAUAUUUGGAUAAGAUUAAACCCCACCCCACCCCACCUCACGUGGUAGCAAAUGAAGGAACACUUAAGUGACUUGUCUUUAUACAAGCUAACUAUUGGGCACAUGGACAACAAAUCUUAAGGAAAUUUUACACGUAAGAAAUGAUUAUCUUAGCCAUCUUUAUCUUGUCUUUCAAGACUAUCCAAUUCAUUUUAUGACAAGGAAAUAUAAUGAAAGGAACAACAUGGAACAAAGUUAGGGAAUUCAUGAAGUUAAUAUGAUACUUUUCGUUACAUUACCUAUAACAAUUCUAAAAUUUACAACGAAAUUCAUACGAGACUUCUCAGCGUAGUAGCAACGGAAUUUUGCGAUUCUAAGGGAGCACAGUAUAAUUUUUCUCAAGAAUAUCAUAAAGAUUUUUCUCUACACUAGUCCGCGGUUAUGUGUUGUUGCAAUCAAUGAGUGUUAAAGGAAUUGUCAAGAGAAUCGAUUCAGGUAUGUUAAGGCUAUCCUUUCUUUCUUUUGGCAUGAUCCAUACGAUACGAGUGAAACGUGCAAAUGCACAAAUUCCAUAAAUGACUCUAUCCAUAGAAGUGUUAGAGAUAUCUAUGUUCUUGAAUUUCCAUAUAUAAUAAUAUUUUAUCAUCUGUUCAUGGGUCUCAGAAAAAUACGAAAGUUGAAACGAGCUUACUUUAUUAUAUUACUCAAAGGCAAAAUGGUCUUAUGACAUUUCGAAAGAUUUUAUUAACGUACUUUUCAUGCAUUGCCUUCAUGUACAUUGACCCGUGACCAUAUGGAGUUAUAUACACAUAUAUAUGCAUGUAUAUAUAUAUGUAUAUGGGAUAUGGGAAAGGUUAUGGUGUUAUAUACGCACCACCACCUGAUCAGUUGAUAUACGUUGAUGAUUUUGCCCACAGUAGCCAAGAUGAUAUGAUGGUAUGUCCUAAGAGGCUGAUGAUGGUAUGAAACAUGUACCUAUGCACGACAUGACAUUCAUACAUAUAUGCACGAUACUAUAAUUAUUUCAUGAUUUUACAAAGUUAUUCAGACUUACAGGUUGAGUCAUGUACUCCAUAUUUCUUCCAUGUCUGUUAUGUACUUGUUUAUGUACCUUACAUACUCGGUAUAUUUUUGUACUAACAUCACUUUUGCUUGGGGAUGCUGCAUUUCAUGCUCGCAAGUUCCGAUAGAUAGGUCGAGAGCCCUCCAAGUACGCUAUCAACUCAGCGGAAGAUGUUGGUGCGCUCCAUUUGCUUCAAAGUUGCUUGUUUGGUCAGUAUGAUUUAAACGUGUAUUGUUUGGUAUGGGGGGACUCUGUCCCGACCUUUAUGACAUUUAUAUACUCUUAGAGUUUUGUAGACAUAUGUCGUGUACGUGAAAAUUAUACGGCCUUGUCGGCCUAUGUUUUGAGUUUAAGAAUGAUUAUGUUGGCCUAUUAGGCCCGUAUGUCACGUGUGUAUGAUGAUGUAAUAAGAAAUAUAUGCUAUGUUUGUGCUCUGUUGAGUAAGGUACGGGGUGCCCGUCCCGCCCCAUUGGUUUGGGUCGUGACAUGUUUGGAACCUUAAGGGCUUUUUACUACAAGUAAAAUCACUGUUUAGACUUAAUAUUUGUACUCAGUCUUGUUGUAUUUUACUAAUUUCAUAACUCAGACGUAUUUACUCAGUUUUGCUACUUUAAAUGAUAUUCUGGGUAAGCAUCCUGUUUUAUUAUUGCCCAAGUGUCUUGAGAAGUUUCCGACUGAGUGAGGACGAGGGCCUGUGUUGUGAUGAUAUCAUGGGAUCGGGCUGUGCGCUGUAGUAUGUUAUACUGAUUUGUGAUAUAUGAGAGUUUGAUGGCCUGAUUUAACAUUCUAUAAGAUGGAUUGUGAUAGUGCUUGGGUUGUAGGAGACCUUCCGGAGUCUGAACAACCCCAGUGAGCGCGGGUACCCCGUGUGAGUGAUGUGAUGUAGCCCGAGGGGCUAUUGUUGAUUCAUAUUGUUGCCUGAGGGUCUGAUUAUGAGUGACUAUGACGUAGCCCGAGGGGCUAGUUCUAUUGAUAUUUUGCUCAAGGGGCUAUUUAUGGUACAUGUUUUGCCCUAGGGAGACAAGAGGGGUUACUCUGAUGGUAAGCAACCCCCACUUCCAACCGAGAGGUUGUGAGUUCGAGUCUCCCCAAGAGCAAGGUGGGAAGUUCUUGGAGGGAAGGAUGCCGGGGGUCUAUUUGGAAACAGUCUCUCUACCCUAGGGUAGGGGUAAGGUCUGCGUACACACUACCCUCCCCAGACCACACUAAGUGGGAUUAUACUGGGUUGUUGUUGUUGUUGUUGUUUUGCCUUAGGGACAGUUUAUGUUUUUAUCAUUUUUACUAACUGUUUCCCCACUUAUUUGAAACUAUUAAAAGGUGUUUUUAAAAGAAAAAGAUUUUACCGAAAUUGAGUUAUUUUUAUAAGUUAAUUGAUUUUUGUAUUGUUUUGGACAAAUACUAUUUUGUUGUAGUGUUAUGACAUGGAAUUACCUGUUUUCUUACUGCUCAGCUGCUUUUACUUUUAUUACUUACUGGGUUGGCGUACUCACAUUACUCCCUACACCUUGUGUACAGAUCCAGGAGUCUCGGGAUGCGAUAGUGACUGCUGGUCAGUCUUCCAGCAAGUCUCCAGAUUUGGCUAGGUAGCUACUUGGCGUUUGCAGCCCUGCACUUCUCCUUCUUACCUUACUCAGACAGUCUUAGUAUUUUAUUUUCGGAGUAUGUUAGUCUUUUUGUACUUAGACGGGUUUGUAGUUGCUCAUGACUGGUGACACCCUGAUGUUGGGCUUGUAUAUUUAUUCCGCACUGGUUAUUUAGACUUAUAUUAUGAGAUUUCUUGUUAAUUAAUGGAUUAAAAAUGACUUUUAUAGAAUAAUGGUUUGAUUCGAAAAUUGUGUCGGCCGGCCUAGUUUCACGAUAGGCGCCAUCAUGACCGGGCCGGUUUUAGGGUCGUGACAAGUUGGUAUCAGAGCCUAGGUUAUAUAGGUCUCACAAGUCAUGAGCAGGUUUAGUAGAAUCUCGCAGAUCGGUGUGGAGACAUUUGUACUUAUCCUCGGGAGGCUACAGAACCUUUAGGAAAAACUUCACAUUCAUAAAUUCCUGUCGUGCGAAUCUGUUGAUUCUGGUAACUAAACUUCUGUUAUUCUAUUCUCUCACAGAUGGUGAGGACACGUGCUACUGCUCAGGGUGGACAACCACCAGUACCACCGAUUGGGGCCACUAGAAGCUGAGAACAUGGUUGAGGCUUUGGUAGGGGAAGGGGUGUAGCCCGCAUAGUAGCUAGGGCAGCUCCUGCAGAUCCACCAGCUACCCCAGUUCAGGAUUAGGUACCAGUUGCGGAUGCUCCAGCAGUACCAGCUCAGGCACCGGCUGUGCCUAUUAUUAUCCCAGGCCUUCAGGAGGACUUGGCCAAAUUCUAUUAGUGUGCACUGGCCUAGCCCAAGUGGUCUCAUUUACUAAAGCCGCAUCUACUUCUCAGGCUGGGGGAGGCACUCAGACUCCCGCUGCUCGCACACUUGAGUAGGUUGUGUAGGGACUUCAGACACCGAGGAACCUCCAGCCCAGCCGGUUGCAGCUGGUCAGGACUAUAUAUCUCCUGUUAUGCUAGAGGACGAGCAACGCAGAUUGGAGAGGUUUGGUAGACCUCAGCCUCUAUCUUUCAAUGGUGCAGAGGACGAGGAUGCCAUGGGUUUCUUGGACAAGUGUUAGAGGAUGCUUCGGACCGCGGGUAUUUUGGAGACCAGUGGGGUCUUGUUCACUACUUUCCAGUUCUCCAGGGCUGCACUUAGUUGGUGGGAGGCUUAUGAGAGGAGUAGGCCAGUUGGCGCAAUGCCCGUUUCUUGGCAAUAGUUCUUCGUUCUCUUUUUGGAGAAGUUUGUACCUGAGUCUCGCCGAGAGGAUCUAUGUAGGAAGUUCGAGUAGCUUCAUUAGGGUGAUAGAUCUAUCACACAAUAUGAGAUCCGGUUCUCUGAUUUUUCUCGUCAUGCAGUUUGGUUGGUUCCCAUAGACCGAGAGAGGAUCAGGAGGUUUAUAGAUGGCCUCGGUUUUCAAUUUCGGCUGCUCAUGACCAGAGAGAGAGUAUCUGGUGCUACCUUUGAUGGGUUGUUGACAUAGCUGGACAAAUUGAGAUGGUUCGUGGUUAAGAGAGGUUUGAGAGUGAGGCUAAGAGGCCUCGUGGUCAGGGUGGAUUCAGUGGUACUCCUCGCGGAAGUUAAUUUCAACACGACAGAGAUCGUCCAUUCAUGCAUGCUCAGUCAGCUCGCCCAGGUUACCGUGGGGCAUCAUCAGGCCAUUGUUCUCACAAUUCUCAUUAGGGUCAUUCCUUACUGAGUGCCUUUCCAGCCCAGAGUUUGUCCUGUGCUUCAUCAGUUCAGGGCUCUUCCAUGCCAGGUUCUUCUACUAGUCAUCCAGGUGCUAGGGGUUACCUUUAGUUCCCGUCUCCAGUACCAGGGGGUUGUUAUGAGUGUGGAGAGUUGGGGCAUAUGUGGAGACUGUAUCCUCAUCAUCUUGGGGGUUCAUCUCAGUAGAUGAGUCACCUAUCGACUUCAGCACCAGUUACCUCACUAUCUACCCACCCAGCUAGGGGUGGAGGAUAGUCAGCUAGGGGUCGCCCUAAAGAGGGAGGUUGAUCAGGUGGUGGUCAGGCCUUUUUCUAUGCACCCCCAGCAAUACUCGAUGUUAUUGCUUUAGAUGCGGUGAUUACAAGUAUUUUCUUGGUCUGCCACAGAGAGGCCUCUAUGUUAUUUGAUCCUGGUUCCACUUUUUCAUAUGUGUCAUCAUAUUAUGCUUGUUAUUUGGAUACGCCCCGUGAGUCUCUUGUUUCAUUUAUUUGUGUAUCUACUCUAGUGGGUGAUACUGUUGUUUUUGACCGUGUAUAUCAGUCGUGUGUGGUGACUAUUGGGUGUUUGGAGACCCGAGUGAACCUUCUGUUGCUUUGUAUGGUUGAUAUUGAUGUGAUAUUGGUCAUGGAUUGGUUAUCUUCGGAUCGUGCUAUUUUGGGUUGUCAUGCUAAGAGUCGGGUGUGUCACGGGUUGAGUGGCGAGGUUCGACUAAUUUUGUUCCCAGUAGGGUAAUUUCAUUUUUGAAGGCCCAGCGGAUGGUUGGAAAGGGGUUUCUUUCAUACUUAGUCUUUGUGAUGGAUGUCAGUGUAGAGACUCCUAAUAUUGAUUCAGUCCCGAAAGUGAGGGACUUUCUGGAUGUGUUUCCUGCGGACCUAUCGGGUAUGCCACCGGACAGGGAUAUUGAUUUUGGUAUUGAUUUGGUGUCGGGCUCUCAGCCCAUUUUUAUUCCACCAUAUCGUAUGGCACUGGAGGAGUUGAAGGAGUUGAAGGAGCAGCUUUAGGAACUCCUUGGUAAGGGGUUUAUUCGGCCUAGUAUGUCACCAUGGGGUGCGCCUGUUCUAUUGUAAAUAAGAAGCAUGGCACUAUGAGGAUGUGCAUUGAUUACAGGGAGUUGAACAAGGUCACAAUCAAGAACAAGUAUCAUUUGCCUCGUAUUGAUGAUUUAUUUGGCCAGCUUUAGGGAGCGAGGGUGUUCUCCAGGAUUAAUCUCUGUUCAGGGUAUCACCAGUUGAAGAUUAGGGACUCGGACAUUCGUAAGAUAGCCUUCAAGACCCGAUAUUGUCAUUAUGAGUUCAUUAUAAUGUCUUUUGGGCCGACCAAUGACCCAACAACAUUCAUGCAUUUGUUGAACAACAUGUUUCGGUGUUAUCUCGACUCAUUUGUCAUUGUAUUCAUUGAUGAUAUUCUGGUGUACUCGCGUAGACAGGAGGAGCACGCGAAACAUUUGAGAGUGGUAUUGCAGUGAUUGAGGGAGGAGAAGCUUUAUGUAAAGUUCUCCAAGUGUAAGUUUUGGCUCAACUCAGUGGCUUUCUUGGGGCACAUGGUGUCCAGUGAGGGUAUUCAGGUUGAUCCGAAGAAGAUAGAGGCAGUCCAUAGUUGGUCCAAACCGUCCUUCGCCACAAAAAUUCACAGAUUUCUUGAUUUGAUGAGUUAUUACUGUCGGUUCAUUCAGGGAUUUUCAUCUAUUGCAUCACCCUUGACCAAAUUGACUCAAAAGGGUGCUCCAUUCAGGUGGUCGGAUGAUUGUCAGGCGAGCUUUCAGAAGCUCAAGACUACCUUGACCAUAGCUUCAGUGUUUGUUUUGCCAUCAGCUUCAGGUUCAUAUACAGUGUAUUGUGAUGCUUUGAGAGUCGAUAUUGGGUGUGUGUUGAUACAUGAGGGUAGAGUGAUUGCUUAUGCUUCCCUUCAGUUGAAGUCCCAUGAGAAGAACUACCAUGUUCAUGAUUUAGAGUUGGCUACCAUUGUUAACGCGUUGAAGAUUUGGAGGCAUUAUCUUUAUGGUGUGUCUUGUGAGGUGUUUAUUGAUCAUCGUAGCCUGCAACACUUGUUCAAGCAGAAGGAUCUCAAUUUGAGGCAACAAAGAUGGUUGGAGUUGCUAAAGGACUAUGAUAUCUCUAUCUUGUACCAUAUGGGGAAGACCAAUGUAGUGGCCGAUGCUUUGAGUAGGAAGGCGGUGAGUAUGGGCAGUUUGGCAUAUAUUCCUGUUGGGGAGAGACCUCUUGCUUGAUGUUUAGGCCUUGGCCAAUCGGUUUGUAAGGUUAGCUAUUUCGGAGCCCAGUUGGGUCUUAGCUUGUAUGGUUUCUUGGUCUUCCUCGUUUGAUCGCAUAAGAGAAUGCCAGUAUGAUGAUCCUUAUUUGGUUGUCCGUGAGGACAGAGUUCAGCACUAAGACACCAAAAAUGUGACUAUUGAUGAUAAUAGGGUAUGGAGGAUGCAUAGCUGGAUAUUUGUGCCCAAUGUAGAUGGGCUUCGGGAGUUGAUUCUGGAUGAGGCCCAUAGCUCGAGGUAUUCCAUCCAUCCUGGUGUCGCAAAGAUGUAUCAGGAUCUGAGACAACAUUAUUGGUGGAGGAGAAUGGAAAAGGAUAUUAUGGAUUUAUAGCUCAGUGUCUCAAUUGUCAGCAGGUGAAAAUGAGCGUCAAAGACUGUGUGGCUUGCUGCAGCAGAUAGAUAUUCCAUAGUGUAAGUGGGAGCAGAUCACCAUGGACUUUGUAGUUUGACUCCCAUGGACUUUGAAGAAGUUUGAUGCUAUUUGGGUGAUUGUGGAUUAGCUGACCAAGUCCGCACACUUCAUUCCUGUGUGUACUACCUAUUCUUCAGAGUGGUUAGCAAAGAUAUAUAUCCGAGAGAUUGUUUGUUUGGAUGGUGUCCCAGUUUCCAUCAUUUCAGAUAGAGGUACUCAGUUCACUUUAUAGUUUUGGAGGGACGUGCAGCGCGAGUUGGGUACCCAGGUUGAGUUGAGCACAGCUUUUCACCCUCAGAUGGACGGUCAGUCCGAGCGCACUAUUCAGAUAUUGGAGGACAUGUUGCGCAGUUGUGUUAUUGAUUUUGGGGGUUCGUGGGAUCAGUUUCUACCGCUCGCGGAGUUUGUUUAUAACAACAGUUAUCAGUCGAGUAUUCAGAUGGCUCCUAAUGAGGCUUUAUAUGGGAGACAGUGUAGAUCUCCAGUUGGUUGGUUUGAGAUGGGUGAGGCUAGGCUUUUGGGUACCGACUUGGUGCAGGAUGAUUUGGAUAAGGUGAAGGUUAUUUAGGAGUGGCUUCGUACAGCGCUGUCAAGACAAAAGAGUUAUGGUGAUAGGAAGGUUCGUGAUGUGUCCUACAUAGUUGGGGAGAAGGUUCUAUUGAAGUUUUCACCCGUGAAGAGUGUUAUGAGAUUUGGGAAGAAGGGUAAAUUGAGUCUCCGAUUCAUUGGGCCUUUUGAGGUGAUUCGGAGGAUUGGGGAGGUGGCUUUGCCACCUAGCUUGUCGAGUGUGCAUUCGGUAUUUCAUGGAUCUAGGCUAUGGAAGUAUAUUGGCGAUCCUUCUCAUGUUUUAGAUUUCAGCACAAUUCAGUUAGACGAUGAUUUGACUUAUGAUGUGGAGCCAAUGGCUAUUUUGGAGCGGCAUGUCCGAAAGUUUAGACCAAAGGAUAUAGCUUCAAUAAAAGUACAUGGAGAGGUCGGCCCGUGGAGGAUCCUACUUGGGAGACCAAGCAGGAGAUGCAGAGCAGAUAUUCUCACCUAUUUGAGGUUUCAGGUAUGUUACAUGACUCGUUCGAGGACAAACGUUUGUUUAAGAGGGGAAAAUGUAACGACCCGGCCAGUCGUUUCAUGAGUUACCACUCUGUUUCCACCAUUUCUACUUAUUUAUGUGUUGUUCAGCUACAUUUCAUCAUAUUGUGCUAGUUGGUUUAGGUUCAGAGUGGUUUUGUAAAGAAAUGAGACACUUAGUCUCUUUUUGGGAAGCUUUAGUUGGAAAAGUCAGCCGGAAGUUGAGUUGUGAGUAGAUGAUCUCGAAAUUUGGUUUUUAUUAUUCGGAUAGCUUCGUUAGGUGAUUUGUGACUUAGGAGCAUGAUCAGAAUGUAAUUUGGUGGUACGUGGUAGAUUUAGGCUUGAAUUGGCGAAAUUGGAAUUUUGGCGUUUUUCGGUUGGUAGUUAAAAUUUUGAUAUCAGAGUCGCAAUGGAAUUCCGGAAUUUGGAUUAGCUCUGUUGUGUCAUUUGUGAUGUGCAUAAAAAUUUUCAGGUCGUUCGGAUGAGGUUUGAUAGGUUUUUGGAUCAGUUGCUGAAUUCGAAAGUUUGUAAAUCCUUAGGCUUUGAAUCCGAGGGUGAUUUGGUGUUUCGGCGUUGUUUUGAGUGUUCCAAGGGUUGGUAUGAGUUUGAAUGAUGAUAUAUGACUUGUUGGCAUGUUUGGCUGAGGUCCCGAGAGCCUCGGGAUGGAUUCGGAAGGUUGGCGGAGGAUUUGGAAUUUGAGUGGAGUUGCAGAAUUUUUCUGCUUCUGUUGUUUCCGCACCUGCGGAUUGGGUACCGCAGGUGCGAUGAUGGAGAAGCGUAGUGGAGGUCGCAGAAGCGGUCUUUAGUCAGCUAGAGCUUGGCCGCAGGUGCGAGGUUAUAACUGCAGAUGCGACCUUAAGUGAAAAACCACUGGUGCGAUUAUUUUGACCGCAGAAGCGGUCCGCAUAUGUGAAAAGAGAGUCGCAGGUGCGUGAUGCCUGUGCAGAAAUUAUAAAAGGCCAUCUUUGCGAUUUUCAGCUUAUUUCCUCCAUUUUUGAGACGGGUUUGAAGCUUUUUGGGAGGAUUUGAAGAGGGAUUCAAGUGGUUACGAUUAGAGGUAAGAUUUUUGAACUCAAUACUUGAUUCUGUGGUGAUUCUAACUGAUUAGACAAGAAAUUUGUGGGAUUUACGCGUUAAAAUUUGAGAAUUAUGGCUUGUAAAUGGAGAGUUUUUAUUGGGGAUUUGAGUGGCCAUUUGAGGUCCGAUUUUGAUGUUCUUGGUAUGUAUAGACUCGUGGGAGGAUAAGGAUUCUAGUGAUAUAAUUUUUAUCGAAUUCCGAGACAUGGACCCGGGGUUUGGUUUAGCUAAUUUCGGGAUUAUUGAUGUAAUUUGAUUAUUUUCAUGUGGACUUUGUUCCUUUAGCUUAUAUUGAUGGCAUGAAUCUGGUUUUGGUUAGAUUCGGAGCAUUUGGAGGCCGAUUCGAGAGGCAUGAAUCUCAGCCGUAUUUACUCUGUUUUUCUACUUUAAAUGAUAUUUUGGGCUGAGCAUCCUAUUUUACUGUUAUCAUACUUCCUUUUCCCAAAGGGGGGAUAGGGAGUUUUUCAAAAAAUGUCACACCUCCUUUUUACCCGAAAGGAAUAUAAGGGAGUUUUCCAAUUUAAGUGACAUAAUCAAAAUAGGAUUAUUUUAUUGAUUACAGAGUCGUCACUUGAAUAUUUAUGGUAUGCCAAGUCAUUUAUUUAUUUUAAUUCCCAAAUCGAGGAAAUUGACUCUAUUUUUGGUUUGCGAACAGAGAAGACCGAGUAAGGAAUUCUGUCAACCGGGGAGAAGGUGUAAGGCAUUCUCGGGUUCUGUGGUUUUAGCACGGUAGCUCAACUAUUAAUAAUUGGCAUAAUUACCUGAUUUAUUACAUAUUUAAAACCUAAUGUGUAUUUUUAUCUUUUUAACCUCUUUUAAUUAUUUAACCAUUUUUUUAGGAUUUAUGAAAUUUAUUUGAACGAGUUGCGAUGUCGUACGCUCGUUGUUUUUGUACAUAUUGUGAAUCGCGUCACAUGAAUUGCAUCCGCGAUUUACAACAUGUUUAUUUUAUUAUUAUUCAAAAUUAUGAUCGGGUCACAUGAAAUGCACACCCGAAUUAAGAUUUACCUAUCGUGACCAUGUCACUGGAACCGUACCCAUAGCCACGAUAAUUUAUUAAUCGCGCCUAAAGCAAGCUACGAUGUUCAUGAAUAUUAACGACCUAAGCAUGCUCCUAACGGACAAUGUAAUAAAAGUAAAAUAAAUAGAACUAAUAGAAAAAUAAAACAAAUUUCAUUUUUAUUCCCUUUUAAAUUUCUUAUUUCAUGCAUUUAACCAAGCCCAAUCCUAAGCAUGUAGACAGUUUAAUAGCUAAUGGCGGCUCGAUCUUUUACCUCCCAUGACUCAACAGGCAAUUCAUUUCAUAUAUACAAACAACGAGUAAAGGAUAGACGGGAACGUGUUCAAAAUACUUAAAGAAAAUUGGAGCUAAGAAAUGUAGAAAAAGUACAAAAAUGAUUUUUCUUAAAAAAACUAUCAGAAGAGCCGCUCAAAGAGUUAGAAGUUUGGCCUGUAAAGCUAUAAAACUGACAUGAAAAUCACAUAUGGAGAAAGGAACACCAAAUAAUUAUAUGUACAGUAUAAAACUGAAACAAACAUCAAAUAUGGGAAAAAGGAACGUCGAACAUAGAAAAAAAGCUUCAGCAUAUUACUUAAAGUCUUUCCAAAAGUCUUUACGCAAACAACUAUUCACGGGGUCCAUGUAGCAACUUUUAAAAUAAAUAGAAUAUGGAAGACUGUGUAGGCCUAUGUUAUCAUUCCAAACAAGAACUAUCAAACAAACAGAGUUAAUCCAAGCACAUUUAAAAUUCUCGUUCCGCAACCCAUUUCUAAACUUAUUCCUUUGCUAAAUCAAUUUACCUUUCUCUUUCACAGGUCGACAAAGAUUUGUGAAACAUGGAUUCAACAAUGUACACUUAAAUAUUCAAUCAAAAAUUAAUCAACUCAAAUAGAUCUCUAAAAUAAAAUCGCAAGUCAUUCUCAUGAUAAUGAUAAAAGCAUGUUAGAAAAGACAGGUAGAUCACCCACAUAACACAACUUCAAUUAAGUAAAGAACAGAGAACAAAGUGAACCUUAAGUGGAAGCCAAAAUACUCUUUAAAAUUUGAUUAAUAAUGAAUCGAUUUCCUUUGAAUAUAGCAAAAUCAAACUCUGACGUUCAAAGGCGACCCCAAAUGGACCUCUCCUUGGCCAGAAAUUGAACCCGAAUCAGUUUUGAAGGGCUGAAGCUCUGAGCUCUCUGAACUCUUGCCAAAAUGGUAGUAAAAAUGAGUUAUGCCUCUUUGUGUUAACGAUGGAGCACGACUGAUUUUUGGGGAUGAGCAAUGGUGGUUUCCGACGCUAGUUUGGUCUUGGAUGAAGAUGAAAAGGGUCGUCUCUAGAUGCUGCCCUUUUUUGUAGUGAAGAAGAAGAAGUCCAGGGGGUGGGCGAUGGGGUCAGCAGCUGCGGAUGUUGGUGUUCUCCGGUGGGUAAUCGGCUGCUGUUAAACGGCGAUAGGCUGGUUUGAUGGGGGAGAAGGCGUUAGGGUGUGCUACUAGUUUUGGGUCUGUAAGGAUCAGAUCCGGGUGUUCUCCUAAUCUAGGGUUCUCUUUUUUUAAGAAGAAGGGUCUUAGGUUAUGGAAAUGUGGUGUAAUGCGCUAAGAAGGGUAUGGGCCAAGGGCAUCAACCGAAAUGGGCCUCAAAAUUGGAUUAUUUUAGCCCAAAUCUGAUUCUUUCUCACUGAAAAAGAAUAAAAAUACUACUUCAUUUACUAAUUAAUCCUAUUUAUGUAAAAUAACUAUUAAAAUAAAACUAACUGUUAAAAUAAAUCUAUUUUUGGUAUUUUUCAAAUAAUAUACUAAAAUUAUUGCAAAAUUAAAAUAAUAUUCCUACCAAACUACUAAUAUUUCUGAAAACAAAGUGGAACUAUUUUUGUAUUUUUGAAUUUUAUGAAAGGUAAAUAAACUAAAAGUAACAAGAUAAAAUAUCAAUUACCUAAAUAAAAGAAAUUAUUUUUGUAAUUUUUAUUUUUGUGACAAAAUAAGGCAAAAGAGUCAAAACUAGUUGAAAUAGCGACAUUAUGCUUAAACUAAAUAUGUAAAUGAUAAAAUAUGUGAAAUUUUAGGGAGGGUCAAAAAUUACAUGUCUAUAGUUGCCCCUCUUUGACUGGAAAUGCGAAGAGUUUUCAGACAAAGAAAGCCGAGACAAGUUUUUUUACCCGACCCUUAUUUAGAGAGACAAAAACUAAGAGAAAAGAGAAUGAGCCCUGGUAUUUGAGCUGCCUACAUAUCCUUAGUUAUAAAUGAAUCAGGCCACGUAUAGUUCAGAAGUGAAUAAGGUGAUGGAGUAUGUGUAGAGGAUGAGAGAGUAGAGUGAGGUUCCGUUCCGUCGAGGUUCCGGUUUGUGGUCCUAUUAUUACAUCAAAAUUAAAAUUAAAAGACUAAUUAAGCCUAUCAGCUACGAGUUACAAGAUUCCUAUUUAUGACUCUUUUGAAGCUUGAUCUUGAGUCUUGGUUGGUUCUUCAUGUGGACUCUGAUCUGAAUCUUGAUACUUGUUAGUUGCAGGUGACGGUUCAUUCCUUUUUCAACUUCUAGGAUCAAGGCGGGACAUGCAAAGCUUGUGACAUCAAUUACGUCUUGAGCAGUCCACAUCUUUUCUCCGCUUCUACACUUUGAGUUCACUUCUUUUUCUUUUUCUUUUUUUUCCUUUUAUUCUUUUUGUGUUUAUUUGGAUUGAGACUUAUUCUUUGGUUAUUUCGGACUGUCGAAUAGCAUUUUUGAGGCGAGCUUCUGCUACUUCUAACUUGAAUCGACCUCUAAAAUGACUUCCCUCGUUUUCUAGGUCAGUGCCUGCUACUACUGCAAAACAGACAAAACAAAAGAAAUUUUUCUGCCCCAGUUUGCACUAGAAAGAUUUGUGAGUGGUUAGCAGACCUAUGAAUCACAUAUGCUAUUGAUAAAGGAUGCAAUUCAAGACUUGGCUAGGAUGUGUGUAUCCUGUGAGUUAAACCAAUAAAAUUUCAACUAGCGAAUGCGUCUGCUAAAAAAACCUGAAUGACCCAGACUAGGAAGUGUGUCUUCUAGAUUUAAGAUUAAGCUUGUGGAAAACUAUAAACCAAGCUUGACUAAAGUAAAAACUAGCCUUGUUCUUCAGGCGGCACCCCUGAUUUCAAGAAAACUAAUGAUUAAUAACUUAAGAAAACUAAAAAUUGACACUUUUUUUCAAAUCUAGACUUCCCUUUUUUUAAAAAAAAAAAUAUUAUCCUAGGAGAAAAUUCAUCAUACUAGGUUUUCUAUCUUAGGAGAAAGAUUUAUUAGACUAGGAUUUUGAUCCUAGGAGAAAGUUUAUCAGACUAGGUCUCUUUUAUCUUCAUUUUUUUGGUAUUUUAGGAGAAAUAUUCAUCACACUAAGAUUUCUAUCAUAAGAGAAAGUUCAUCAGACUAGGUUUUCUUAUUUUAGGAGAAAGAUUCAUCAGACUAAGACGUUUAUCCUAGGAGAAAGAUUCAUCAGAUUAGGUUUUCUUAUCUUAGGAGAAAGAUUCAUUAGACUAAGACAUUUAUCCUAGGACAAAGUUCAUCAGACUAGGUCUUCUAUCUUAGGAGAAAGAUUCAUCACACUAAGAUUUUGAUCCUAGGAGAAAAUUCAUCAGACUAGUUCUCUUUUCUCUUUUUUUUUUGGUAUCUUAGGAGAAAUAUUUAUCAGAUUAAGAUUUCUAUCCUAGGAGAAAGUUCAUCAAACUAGGUUUUCUUAUCUUAGGAGAAAGAUUCUUCAGACUAAGACGUUUAUCCUAGGAGAAGUUCAUUAUACUAGGUCUUCUAUCUUAGGAGAAAGAUUCAUCAGACUAAGAUUUUGAUCCCAGGAGAAAUUUCAUCAAACUAGGUCUUCUAUCUUAGGAGAAAGAUUCAUCAGAAUAAGAUUUUGAUCCUAGCAGAAAAAUUCAUCAGACUAGGUCCUUUUUUUAAUUUUAAGAGAAAGAUUCAUCUGACUAAGAUUUUUUGUAUCCUAGCNNNNNNNNNNNNNNNNNNNNNNNNNCCUUUGUCGGCUCUUUUAUUCUUUUUCUUUUUCUCCUCUUUUUUUGUUUGCUUUAUUUAUAUCUUUUUUCCUCUUUUUUUUUGAACCGUUUUCCUUGCACUGCUUUGUUCCUAUUUCACACAAAGAAAAUUUUGUCAGUUUUGAAAAUGGUGGUCGGUUUGUGGCCUUGAGUCUUGGGUAGCUUGGCUGUGUGCACAUUUACUUUUAGAAAAUUGACUGUAUUAGUAAUUGGCUGCACCGAUAGGAGACUUUGUUUUUGCUUUCAAGGGACCUUUACUUCUUGUAUCAAUCCUGAUUGUUUCUCUCCCAAUGCCAUUGGUGUUUUGUAGCUCAAUCAGCCUUAUCCCGACUGGAGAUCUUUGCUCAGAUGACCUUUUUUGAUAUCUUCAAUGACUUCCUGCUUUUGAAAAAUUGUCUGUCAGAGAGAAUCACAAGUUAUCUUUGCUUGCGCCGAGUAGGCUGGCAAGAAUCUUUUGGGGGACGCCUUUGCAUAAAUCCUCAAGUCAUGUUGAUUGUAACAACUAAGUGUGUUGGCCAAAUUUACUUUGUGCAGCUGAAAAGCUGGUAGCAGAUUCUGAAAUCUUUUCUUGCCUAUUUUGAGAAAGACUGGAUCAGAGUGAAGGGCACAAUGAUGCAAAGAAAUAGUAUUAACAAGAAAUGCUCUUGUCGGGAAGGAAAGAAGGAUGAGUUUUUUUUUCCAAUAACUAGCCUAAUGAUCAUGACAUGCAUUUUGGACUUAAUGGACAAUUAUCAAACUAAUCCAUUCUUCCUUUUUACCAUUCUUAUGACCUUUGAAGCCGGUCUUGUUCGUGUUCAUUCUUUGCAUCAGCUUCACAACUCACUUUCGACUAGUAGUGCCCCGAGGAAUUUUCACCAACAAGUCUCUCUCAUUUAUUUAUCUUUACUUAUUGUCACCUUACAGUGCCCUAUGGGGGUUUUCACUUGUAAGACUCUCUCAUUUUUCUUUUUCUUUCCUUUUUUUUUUUGUGAGCAACUUGACAGUGUUCUAUGUCGUGUGACAACAGUUGUUCAUUCCAUGCUUCUCUUGGCAUUCUUGAAGGCAUAUCAGGAGAUCUUUAUAUGGAUGGUUUUGGAUAGGUUUGGACAGAAGGGUCGGCAUGAAGGCUCAAAGUAGACUCAAAAUGAAGGGUUGUGGACUUACAACUCUUGGAAUCGACUCUUUCAAAAGUGAAAUAAAAUCUCUGCCCCAGUUUUAGAUACUGGGGAUUUUUGGCUUUUUUUUUGAAUUCUUAUUUGGUUAGACCGAAUCAUGAGGCUGCUUACGUAUCCUUUUUUAAGGAAUCAAGUCGAACGUAGUUCAAUCAUCUGACCUAACUACUAUUAUUAUUAUUAUUCAUCUUUCUUUCUUUUUCUUUGUCUUUUUGUCUUUUGUCUUUUUUUGUUGUUUUCAAAACAAGUUACCCUAGCUUCUAUUUUUUGGGGGUAUAGUCCUUUGCCAGUUCUUUUGUUCUUCCUUUUUUUUCGAUUAAACUUUCUAAGAAUUGCACCAGUUUGUACUCUUGGGACAUGGACUUUCUUUUUCUUUUUUUUUCAUUUUUUCAUUUUUUGACUCUUGACUCUAAACUUGAUUCCAAAAGAGGGUGGUCAAAGAAAAUAACACAGGCUCAAAAAGGGUAGCGAAGGAUAUAAAGUGGUUGGAUAGUAGAAAAAGGGCCUCCCAACCUCGACAAUGCUAAUUAUAUUAUCCUUUCGUGAUCACAACAUUGAUAAGCAUGUCCGUCUUCUUGGUGUUUCGUGGCAGAAAGACACUUUCUAUCCAUUAAUGUCAAACUUUCUACCAAGCUUCAAUUGAUUCAAUAUCCUCAAGCCCUAUCUUCACAAUGAUUUGAAGGUGAAUUUUACUCGACCUUAAUUCCAAAGUAUUUCAACUCUUUAUUCAUCCUCAAACGUGUCUUGUUCUCAGUUAUCCAAUUCAAGCUUAAAUCCAUCUUCUAAGAUCUAGCCGAAAAUUCUGCAUGGAUAUCAUGUCAUUAGAACUAGCGGGAAAUGAACUAAGCAUAGAAUGGCACAAAAGGAAAAACUUUAUUUUAUUGAGUAAACAACAAGAAAAACAACCUAAAAUCCGAGUCACAACCCUAAAAUAACUCGGUGAGUGAAAAUAACAACAAAUCAUAUAGACAAGACUCACACGAACAAAUAGAGGGAUAGAAGGAUUUGACUCAAUAAAACAAAUAAAAUCUGGAUCACAACCCUGAAAUAACCUAGAUAAUAGAAAAAACAUCAAAACAAACUACCAAGAUUCCUUCCUAGUGAGGAGAAAAUGACUUUUCAAUUGCUAAACUUGACAUUUAGCCACAAAUUUGCUCAUCAGAAUCAUCAUGGCCUUAUCCAAUUUCAAUCGGCAAGUUCCCGAAAGGAUUUUUAUACUCCAUGUUACUAGGCAUAAUCCCCACAAAGUGUGCAUCAUCAUGUGCAGGUAAACGAUUCUGUGUGAUAUUCUGGGUGUCAAUAUCUUGGAUCACGAUCAGUUUUUCCUGGAUCAUCCUUUCUAUUUCUCUUUUCAAAUCCCGACAACUUUCAACAUUGUGCACCUGGGCAUUGGAAUGGUAUUCACACCUUUUAGAAGGGUCAAAUCUUCUUGCACGUGGGUCCACAUGAUUUGGAGGAAUGUGUGCAAUCAUAUCAUAAUGCUUUAACUUCUUAAAUAAGCUUGCAUAGGACUCUCCUAUUGGUGUAAAAUUAUCUUUCAACCUUUGUUUUCCUCUAUACCCAUGGCUUGGAUGUGGGUAAUAGGGCACUUGAAAAUUUUGUGGAGACUGGAGGAGAUUUACGGUGCUGGUGCUCUCCUUCUGGGGUAUCUUUAUGACUGGACAACAUACUGAGCUGGAGCAACAGAGUGUUGUCGGUUCUGAGGUGGAUAGUAGUGCUCAGGGGAAUCAUCAAAAAAUAGAUGAGGCUGGUCAUACUUUUGAGAUGUUCUCCUAAGACCUCUUCUCGACCCUGAUGUCAUCAUGAUUUCUUCAUCCAUCUCAUUCGUGUCACUAAAAUUACCAGAUUCAAUUUGGAUAGCCUGAGUUGCAGCUUUGAGAGCUGCAUGACUUAUAAUUCUACCUGUCUUAAAGUCAUUCUCUACCAUUUAUCCCAUUUUGAUUGUUUUCGAGAAGGAUUUUCCAACUGCGUACCUCAUGUGUUGAAAGUAAUCUGGCUCUUGAGCCUGAAUGAAGACACUGAUUAGCUCGUGGUCAUCCAUGGGUAGCUUAAUUCUAGCCACUUGCUCUCUCCAUUUAAUGGCAUAUUCCCUGAAACUUUCAGUUGGUUUCUUCUUUAGGUUUGAAAGGGAAUUACGGUCCGGGUCGAUGUCGAUGUUAUAUUGGAACUGUUUGACAAAGUCCUUGGCCAUGUCAUCCCAGACAUGCUAGUGAGAUGUAUUUUGAUCCUUAAAUCAUUCGGAGGCUGCUCCCGUAAGUCUUUCCCCAAAUAAGCCAUCAGAAAUUCUUCCUUUCCUCCUGCAUCUCUUAGUUGAUUGCAAUACCUUUUCAGGUGGAAUAUGGGGUCUCUGUGUCCAUCAUACUUUUCAAAUUUGGGAGUCUCCAAACUAGGUGGCAAGUGGACAUCGGGGAACAUACACAUAUCCUUGAGCGCAAUGCUCUUUUGACCAGCCAACCCUUGCAUGUUUUUCAACCGUUGUUCUAAGCUUUUCACUCUUUGGGUCAUUUCUUCUUGUUCCAUCUUUCGAGCAGGCUUCUCAAUGUUUGCACGAAGAUCAAACAAGUACGAUUGGUACUGCUCUUGCUGGGUAGCAAAUUGUGACUCAUGAGUUUUCCUCUAUACCACCGUCGGUUGUAGGAUAGUGAAGACGAGCAUAACAAUAGUGGUUGUUUGAUUGGUUGUAAAUGGAAAACUUUGAGAGAAUGCAACAGAAGCUCUAGCCGUAGUCGUACAGUUGGGAUAAGAACUGAACCCAGGUGGACAGGACUGAUCAAACAAUGAGACUGGAAUGGAAGUAGUCAAGAUGGGUGUGAAUUUUGGGAAACCAUGAGAAGAAAAGGGCGGUCCUUGGCCAUUAGCCCAUGCUUGACACAUUUCAGUCAUUUGCUGCUUUAGUACCAUAUUUUCCUCAACCACAGUAGACUUUUGUUGAACCAUCUGAACCUGAGUCUCUUGAGCACUAGUAACAGCUUCAAUGUCAGUUGUCUUUGGCAUUUUUCCCUUGGAUCUUGUGAAUUAUGGAUGUGUUUCUGGCUUACCACGAACCGACCACCUCAAACUUUCUUCACAAUUAAAAAUAAACAACAUGUUAGAAUGGUCACUCUUCUCUUCUUUUAUUUUCUUUUCUUUCUUUUCUCUCUUCUUUUUUAAAUCAUUCGAUCAAACCUGAUGUGGGUUGCCUACGUAUCAUGACGCCGCAUGAAUCAGAUCUUUGCAUAGUUCGGGAAGAUUAUGAAUAAAGUUAAUAAACUAACUCUUUUUUUUUUAUUUUGGACUUUUUUCAAAAGAAAGACAUAUAAAGAAGAAAGAAAAUACUUUUUGAUUUCGAUUUUUUUUUUGAAUUUCGAAAGAAAAUCUAUAGAAGAAAAUAAUGAAAUAUUUUUGAUUUUUGGACUUUUAUUUUGAAUUUAUGAAAGAAAGACUUUUAAAGAAAAAAGAAAUUAUUUUUGAAUCUUGAAUUUAUCUUUUAAAUUUUCAAAAGGUGAAUGAAAUAUUUCGGGAUUUUGUGAAGAAAUUAAAAGAAACUAUUUUUGGAUUUUUUUAAAAAUUGGAGUUUAAAAGAAAGACUUUCUAAAGAACGAAGUAAAGGAAAAUAUUUUUGGAUUUUUUAAAAAUUGUGAGCCGGAACCGAUGAGGUUUGCCUACGUAUCACACAUCCGGUGAGAAUCAGACUCGCGUAGUUCGACCAAUUUAGCGGAACAAGGGAAACAUGACUUUUGAAAACAAUCACUUAUUUUCUUUCUCUUUGGUUUUUGAAAAUUUCGGCAGAGUUUCGAAUUACCUACCUCUCACUCUUGAUUUUUUAUUUUUUUUAUUUUCUUUCCCUAUUCAAGAAGCAGGUCAACAUGCAAGCCAAAAUAAAUAAAUGCACAAGUAACACAUAAAAUACAUCAGGAUGGUCUUUUAAAUUAGGUACAGCUGUCCUAGACGGACCCAACCCCUAUGUCGAGUCCCCAAAGUCAAAUGCACGUGAUGCAAACAAACGUACCUACUAGCGAUCCGACAUGAGGAUAUGUUAUUCUAGGUUUAAAACCUGGGUGUAUUGUUCUAGACCUGGCAUACCUGAGCGGAUAGCUCGAGCCGAGGGGGGAGGGAGGAAGCGUACCGAGAAUACAGAAGCUUCACCGACUUUGCAAUUUGUCCGAACCUAGUUCAAAAAAUAGGAUAUGACUCUAACAGAAAAGAAGCCACACGAAGUGCACGGUUCCCAAAUGAUCUAGAAGACUCAGAGAGAAGAGGGCUUCGUAAUAUUUUAUAUAUAGCCCAAGCAAUAUCAAAGCGGUAAAAAGUGGCCUUUAUCACAUUAGGUUUAAACACGUAAAAAUCGGAUAAUAAAUAAAAUCCAACUAUAACAGUUAUUCUAAGCUCAAAUUCUGAACCCUGAACUAGAUGUUUUGGGUUCUUAUCCCCGGUAGAGUCACCAGAGCUGUCACACCUCCUUUUUCCGAAGGGGGGAUAGGGAGUUUUUCCAUGAGUUGUACACCUUCUUUUUACCGGAAAGAGAUAUAAGGGAGUUUUUCCAAUUUAAGUGACAUAAUCGAAAUGAGAUUAUUUUAUUGAUUACAAUGUCGCCACUUGGAAUAUUUAUGGUGUCCCAAGUCACCGAUUUAUUUUAAAUCCCAAAUCAAGUAAAUUGACUCUAUUUUUGGUCCACGAACACAGAAGACCGGGUAAGGAAUUCUGUUAACCGGGGAGAAGGUGUUAGGCAUUCCCAGGUUCUGUGGUUUUAGCACGGUCGCUUAACUAUUAAUAAUUGGCUUAAUUACCUGAUUUAUUACAUAUUUAAAACCAAAUGUGCAUUUUUAACUUUUUAACUGCUUUUAAUUAUUUAACCGCAUAUUUUAGGAUUUAUGAAAUUUAUUUGAACGAGUCACGAUGUCGUGCGCUCGUUGUUUUUGUACAUAUUGUGAAUAGAGCUAUCAAACGGACCAGCCCAGCCCAAGCCUCACAGACUUUUAAAUUUGGAGGGUUAGGAUGGGCCAUCCCGCCACAUGAACGGGCCUUAAAAUGGCCAGCCCAACCCAGCCCUAAGAAGGCCGCAGGCUAGGGAGGGCCAGCCCUUCAAUUUUUUUUAAGAAAAAAGAAUUUUUUUAAAUCCUUAAAUAUUUUUUCGUGACAUAAUCGAUUAAUCAUGUAAAUAACUUCUGUUUGCUUAGAGAAUUUCUUUCCUUUUUCUCAAAUUCAGGGAUUGCUUUAAUAAAUUUAAAUGCUGAGGUUUUUUAAGUUAGGAUUAAUAUCAUUUACUGAUUUCAUCAUUAUAGACCAUAAAAUUUUUAAAAUUCCUGAAAUUUGCUAGUGGUCAAUUAUUUUUUUUAGUGUUUUCAAACGAAAGAAUUACAAGAAAAUACACAUGACUUCACACCAUAAGAAAAAAUGGCCCAUGUUUUUAUGUUUUACCCAACCUAGCCCAUACUGUACAUAUUUUGAAAGCACUAGCAAAUUGAAAACUUGUGUUCUUAUAACCAUUGCUUCUAAAAGUUAUGGAGUUAAAUAUGUGUUCUCACAACCAUUGCUUUCACUCUCUCUUCUUCUUACAUCUUCUACAUAUGCUUCAAAGGGUCGUCCGACAUUGAUUGUUUGUUACCCUGUGUCAUCUAGUUGCAAUGUAAGAAAAUUAAAGAGUUGAAGCCCACCAUUGAAAGCCAUUCAAAGCUUUGCUUUCGAAAAUAAGAUUUUUUGAGUUUCUUAGUUGUUUGGAUUGGGUGUUGUUCCAAUUGAUUGAAAAUAACAAAAGAGGUUCAAAAUUUAAAUUUGAAGUUAUUUGGAGUAGAUUUGAGUUAAAUUUUAGAAAAGACGCAAAGAAGAAGACGGAGUUAGUUUUUUGUAUAAUUAUGUAUAAUAUUGUAUAAUAGUGUAUAUGAGUGUAUAAACACAUUUUAUACAGUAUUAUACAUUUUUAUACACCUUUAUACAGGCAUCCGUAGACGAACUUCUUCCACGAUUUUCAGUUGCAAUUCUUGUUUAAAACCAAUCCAAAUCUCCAUUAAAUGACUUCAAAUUUUAUAUACAACCUCCUUAUACUAUUUCUAACAAGUCUAAAUAACACUCACUCCAAAAUUCUCACAAAAACAAAUUCGAAAUUUAAACCCACAUGUUUGAGCUUGUUAAAAACUUAAUUUUUAUCAUCGAAAUGGAUUUGGUUUGUUGAACUAAUAUUUGAGUCACAGUUACUAAAUCAAAAAUUAACUUAAAAGCUUAAACAAUCUUUUUUAAAAAUUAAAUAGUAAUUUCUAGAACCUAUUGGAGUUGGAUGUUGAAUCUUAGCCUAUUAUUUUUAGGCUAGUUGGUUGUAAAUUAUAAUAUGGGCUAUAAAAUUGAAAAGGAGGAAGCUCAGUUGUUCUUACGUAAAAUUUUUCAUUUUCAAAAAUGAUCUUUUUCUAUACUAAAGAGCUGUCUAAAUAUUAAUAGUAUAUUAAAGUAAUCCAAACUGAUCAUUGGUCACUUAAAGUAAUAUUUUCUUCUGAAAAUUGAUUAUUAUUGCUAAAACUUUUCGAGUUCGUUAUUAAUUAAGCAAAAGAAAAACUAAUUUUGUCAUAUUACAUGCAUGUCAAAAACGUAAAUUCUAGUUGAUAUGGAAGGAUAAAUGAGCAAUCUAGGGUUGGGGAAUGGGGAUUAUAGUUAAUAGUUUGUUUUUAGUUUUUACUUUUUUCAAUAUUAAGUAUUUAAUAGUUAAUUAAUUUGUUAAUUUUUAGCCCAUGGGCCGGCCCAGGACCAGUCAAGCCUCAAGGGCCUGCGGGCUGACUUGGGCCGGGGUUAUAAGCCUCAGUUUUAGAUGGGCUAAAAAAUUCUAGCCCAACCCUACCCAACUAGCGGGCUGGGUUGGGCUGGCCUCACGGGCUAACCCAUUUUGACGGCUCUAAUUGUGAAUCGCGUCACAUGAAGUGCACCCGCAAUUUACGACAUGUUUAUUUUAUUAUUAUUCGAACCUAUGAUCGGGUCACGUGAAAUGCACACCUAAAUUGAGAUUUACGUAUCGUGACCAUGCCACGGGAACCGUACUCAUAGCCACGAUAAUGUAUUAAUCGCGCCUAAAGCAAGCUACGAUGUUUAUGAAUAUUAACAACCUUAGCAUGCUCCUAACGGACAAUAUAAUAAAAGUAAAAUGAAUAGAACUAAUAUAAAAAAUAAAAGAAAUUUCAUGAUCAUUCCCUUUUAUACUUCUUAUUUCAUUCAUUUGGCCAAGCCCAAUCCUAAACAUGUAGACAGUUUAAUAGCUAACGGGCUCGAUCUUUCACCUCUCGCGGCUCAGCAGGCAAUUCAUUUCAUAUAUACAAAUAACGAGUAAAGGAUAGACAGGAACAUGUUCAAAACACUUAAAGAAAAUUGGAGCUAAGAAAUGUAGAAAAAGUACAAAAAUGUUUUUUUUUUUUAAAACUAUUAGAAGAGCCGCUCAAAGUGUUAGAAGUUUGUCCUGUAGAGCUAUAAAACUGACAUGAAAAUCACAUAUGGAGAAAGGAACACCAAAUAAUUAUAAGUACAGUAUAAAACUGAAACGAACAUGAAAUAUGGGAAAAAGGAACAUCAAACAUGGGAAAAAAACUUCAGCAUAUUACUUAAAGUCUUUCAAAAAGUCUUUACACAAACAACUAUUCACGAGGUCCAUGUAGCAACUUUUAAGUUUUUGUUUAAUAGGUAAUUUUCACAACUUAAAAUAAACAAAAUAUUGAAGACCGUGUAGGCCUAUGUCGUCAAGCUUCAUCACAUUCAGCUUGUUAUCAUUCCAAACAAGAACUAUCAAACAAACAGAGUUAAUCCAAGCACAUUUAAAAUUCUCGUCCAACAACUCAGUUUUAAACUCAUUCCUUUGCUAAAUAAAUUUAUCUUUCAAUUUCACGUGUCAACACAGAUUUGUAAAACAAUGUACACUUAUAUAUUCAAUAAAAAAUUAAUCAAAUCUAAUAGAGCUCUAAAAUAAAAUCGCAAGUCAUUUUCAUGAUAAUGAUAAAAGCAUGUUGGGCAAAAGACAUGUAAAUCACCCACAUAAGAAAACUUCAAUUAAGUAGAGAACAGAGAACUGAAUGAACCUCAAGAGGAAGCCAAAAUGCUCUUUGAAAUUUGAUUAAUAAUGAAUCGAUUUCCUUCGAAUAUAGCAAAAUCAAACUCUGACGUUCAAACGUGACCGGAGGGAUGGACGUCAACAAGAACCUUAGAUCAGAACCAGUGAACGAUGACCUCAAACGGACCUCUCCUUGUCCAGAAAUUGAACUCGAAUCAAUUUUGAAGGGCUGAAGCUCUAAGCUCUCUGAACUCUUGCCUAAAUGGUAGUAAAAAUGAGUUUUGCCUCUCGGUGUUAAUGAUGGAGCGUGACUGAUUUUUGGGGCUGAGCAAUGGUGGUUUUGCCGUGCUGGUUUGGUCUUGGAUGAAGAUGAAAAGGGUCGUCUCUGGAUGCUACCCUUUUUUGGAGUGAAGAAGAAGAAGUCCAG